UACGGAGGGAGCUAGCGUUGUUCGGAAUUACUGGGCGUAAAGCGCACGUAGGCGGCUUUGUAAGUUAGAGGUGAAAGCCCGGGGCUCAACCCCGGAAUUGCCUUUAAGACUGCAUCGCUUGAAUCCAGGAGAGGUGAGUGGAAUUCCGAGUGUAGAGGUGAAAUUCGUAGAUAUUCGGAAGAACACCAGUGGCGAAGGCGGCUCACUGGACUGGUAUUGACGCUGAGACGGCGAAAGCGUGGGGAGCGAACAGG
Molecule: ribosomal RNA, 254 nt
Filed under: uncultured bacterium
Lineage: Bacteria
Description: partial 16S ribosomal RNA
Rfam family: Bacterial small subunit ribosomal RNA
Source: RNAcentral